GACGAACGCUGGCGGCGUGCUUAACACAUGCAAGUCGAACGGAAAGGCCCUGCUUUUGUGGGGUGCUCGAGUGGCGAACGGGUGAGUAACACGUGAGUAACCUGCCCUUGACUUUGGGAUAACUUCAGGAAACUGGGGCUAAUACCGGAUAGGAGCUCCUGCUGCAUGGUGGGGGUUGGAAAGUUUCGGCGGUUGGGGAUGGACUCGCGGCUUAUCAGCUUGUUGGUGGGGUAGUGGCUUACCAAGGCUUUGACGGGUAGCCGGCCUGAGAGGGUGACCGGCCACAUUGGGACUGAGAUACGGCCCAGACUUCUACGGGAGGCAGCAGUGGGGAAUAUUGCACAAUGGGCGGAAGCCUGAUGCAGCAACGCCGUGUGCGGGAUGACGGCCUUCGGGUUGUAAACCGCUUUCGCCUGUGACGAAGCGUGAGUGACGGUAAUGGGUAAAGAAGCACCGGCUAACUACGUG
RNAcentral lists this ribosomal RNA (468 nucleotides) under uncultured bacterium. RNAcentral's name for it is "partial 16S ribosomal RNA". It matches the Rfam family "Bacterial small subunit ribosomal RNA", at positions 28 to 507 of the family's 1533-position model. The record is from RNAcentral.